UGGUUAGUUUUAUGCAGUCAAGUAUGAGUAGAUAUCAUAUGUAUUGAGCAUAAGAACUAGAACCACAACCGGAUUUUAGAAGCCUAGUUGUGUUUCCUUGUUUAAAGAUACAAAGCCAAAGAUUCAUACGGACUUCGGCUACACCAUCACAGCUU
RNAcentral lists this small RNA (155 nucleotides) under Arabidopsis thaliana (thale cress). RNAcentral's name for it is "ATSL270920". The record is from RNAcentral. Lineage: Eukaryota; Viridiplantae; Streptophyta; Magnoliopsida; Brassicales; Brassicaceae.